Molecule: non-coding RNA, 1079 nt
Organism: Peromyscus maniculatus bairdii (prairie deer mouse)
Lineage: Eukaryota; Metazoa; Chordata; Mammalia; Rodentia; Cricetidae
Source: RefSeq, a predicted model, not a curated record
GGUUCCGAAGUCCCUUGAGACUGCAGGGCGGAGCUUGGGAGGGAAGUCCGAGAUAGGGUGAAGAAGUGGUCAGCAGCUUCAGGCUCUUACUUAGCGGCUGGCCUGGGAGCUGAAGGCUCUCCUUUUGCUCAUCACUAAGGGGUUCUGAUCGUCCUUGGCCCUUGGAGGAAGAACACAAGAGAAUAUUGAUCCAAAAUUGAUAUUGUUGUGGUUAUCGAUGUCACCAACCUGAACUCAUCAAAUAACAGGAGCCAUGAAAGUGAUACUGUAGAAGCUGUUACUGAGCAAGAAGCCACUACAGAUGUCGAUGAUGCCUACAGGUGGUUCCAUUGGCAAGAACAUAGCUGGUCAGAAAAGGUCCCACCCACGACUGACAUCGGAAGGCCAGGCAUGAGAAGGAGCUGGCCAGAGGAUUUGGUGCUGGGGCUCCCUACAUGAAUAACUACCACCAAGAAGGAGGAACCCACACAUGUCUGGAAUCUUCCACUCAUGAAUGGAGGCUCAGCCUGAAAGUAAUUAAGACGAUACCAAGAAAAACUGCUUUGACUGUUCGCAGAAAUCCAUUAGCAUGUCAUCAGGCUCCUUCCAUGCAAAGCCAGUGCUAGCCCUUCCCUGAAGUUCUCUGCUGCUUAGUUUCCCCCAGCAUCCGUUCCGCUGGGUGAUGCUGAGCUCUUUUGAUGAGCCAGCCUGGCAAGGCUUCCAGCAGAGAGGCUUCUCACAGACAGGCUUGAUAGACAUUUCCGACUCACCCCACCCAUCAGGAUGAGAGGCUGCACGGAGCGAGACUUCAGCACCUACCUGUAGCAGGCCUGCUCUGGGCCCAAGCACUCCAGCCAGACCAAUGUCAAAGAAAAAUAAGUUCCCGCUGAUUUGCCAGGUGUUACCCUGCACACUUGUGCACACUCUUGUCUAAUGAAAAGGACAUGCUCCAGGAGUGUGAUCUCGUGGAUGCUAACCCUGACUUGGUUUAUGUGCAGCUCUCUCUCUCUCUCUCUCUCUCUCUCUCUCUCUCUCUCUCUCACACACACACACACACACACACAUUCUCACUCUGCAUAGGCAUGUGCACACAAAGCAGA